UAUGGCUCAGGAUGAACGCUAGCGGCAGGCUUAACACAUGCAAGUCGAGGGGCAUCGGGAGUAGCAAUACUUGCCGGCGACCGGCGCAAGGGUGCGUAACGCGUGAGCAACAUGCCCGUAUCAGGGGGAUAAUCCAUGGAAACGUGGUCUAAUACCCCAUAGUAAUUAUGUAAGGCAUCUUAUAUAAUUUAAAGCUUUGGUGGAUACGGAUUGGCUCGCGUGACAUUAGCUAGAUGGUAAGGUAACGGCUUACCAUGGCUACGAUGUCUAGGGGUUCUGAGAGGAAGGUCCCCCACACUGGAACUGAGACACGGUCCAGACUCCUACGGGAGGCAGCAGUGAGGAAUAUUGGACAAUGGGAUGGAAAUCUGAUCCUAGCCAUGCCGGCGUGCAAGGAAGACCGGCCCUAUGGGUUGUAAACUGCUUUUGUAUGGGAGCAAUAAGGGCUACGCGUAGUCCGAUGAGAGUACCAUACGAAUAAGCACCGGCUAACUCCGUGCCAGCAGCGGC
RNAcentral lists this ribosomal RNA (510 nucleotides) under uncultured bacterium. Its description in RNAcentral is "bacterial SSU rRNA". It matches the Rfam family "Bacterial small subunit ribosomal RNA", at positions 18 to 518 of the family's 1533-position model. The record is from RNAcentral.